RNAcentral lists this ribosomal RNA (433 nucleotides) under uncultured bacterium. RNAcentral's name for it is "partial 16S ribosomal RNA". It matches the Rfam family "Bacterial small subunit ribosomal RNA", at positions 29 to 507 of the family's 1533-position model. The record is from RNAcentral.
AACGAACGCUGGCGGCAGGCCUAACACAUGCAAGUCGAGCGAGGACUUCGGUUCUAGCGGCGGACGGGUGAGUAACGCGUGGGAAUGUGCCCUUCUCUACGGCAUAGCCCUGGGAAACUGGGAGUAAUACCGUAUACGCCCUAUUGGGGAAAGAUUUAUCGGAGAAGGAUCAGCCCGCGUUGGAUUAGGUAGUUGGUGGGGUAAUGGCCUACCAAGCCGACGAUCCAUAGCUGGUUUGAGAGGAUGAUCAGCCACACUGGGACUGAGACACGGCCCAGACUCCUACGGGAGGCAGCAGUGGGGAAUCUUAGACAAUGGGGGCAACGCUGAUCUAGCCAUGCCGCGUGAGUGAUGAAGGCCUUAGGGUUGUAAAGCUCUUUCAGCUGGGAAGAUAAUGACGGUACCAGCAGAAGAAGCCCCGGCUAACUCCGUG